ACUUUACAAUGCUGGCAACAGCGAUAAGGGAACCUCGAGUGCCAGGUUACAAAUCUGGCUGUCGAGAUGCCUAAAAAGCAUUUCAUAGCAAGGGCCGGGCAAGACCGGUGCCAGCCGCCGCGGUAACACCGGCGGCUCGAGUGGUAACCGUUAUUAUUGGGUCUAAAGGGUCUGUAGCCGGCCGGAUAAGUCUCUUGAGAAAUCUGGCAGCUUAACUGUCAGGCUUUCAGGAGAUACUGUCUGGCUCGAGGCCGGGAGAGGUGAGAGGUACUUCAGGGGUAGGGGUGAAAUCUUGUAAUCCUUGAAGGACCACCAGUGGCGAAGGCGUCUCGCCAGAACGGACCUGACGGCAAGGGACGAAAGCUAGGGGCACGAACCGGAUUAGAUACCCGGGUAGUCCUAGCCGUAAACGAUACUCGCUAGGUGUCGGCCACGGUGCGACCGUUGUCGGUGCCGUAGGGAAGCCGUGAAGCGAGC
Molecule: ribosomal RNA, 477 nt
Filed under: uncultured archaeon
Lineage: Archaea
Description: bacterial SSU rRNA
Rfam family: Archaeal small subunit ribosomal RNA
Source: RNAcentral